Molecule: ribosomal RNA, 433 nt
Filed under: uncultured bacterium
Lineage: Bacteria
Description: partial 16S ribosomal RNA
Rfam family: Bacterial small subunit ribosomal RNA
Source: RNAcentral
AACGAACGCUGGCGGCAUGCCUAACACAUGCAAGUCGAACGAGACCUUCGGGCCUAGUGGCGCACGGGUGCGUAACGCGUGGGAACCUGCCCUUAGGUUCGGAAUAACUCCCCGAAAGGGGUGCUAAUACCGGAUAAUGUCUUCGGACCAAAGAUUUAUCGCCUUUGGAUGGGCCCGCGUUGGAUUAGCUAGUUGGUAGGGUAAAAGCCUACCAAGGCGACGAUCCAUAGCUGGUCUGAGAGGAUGAUCAGCCACACUGGGACUGAGACACGGCCCAGACUCCUACGGGAGGCAGCAGUGGGGAAUAUUGGACAAUGGGCGAAAGCCUGAUCCAGCAAUGCCGCGUGAGUGAUGAAGGCCUUAGGGUUGUAAAGCUCUUUUACCCGAGAUGAUAAUGACAGUACCGGGAGAAUAAGCUCCGGCUAACUCCGUG